This 519-nucleotide ribosomal RNA is filed under the name Triticum aestivum (bread wheat). Its description in RNAcentral is "partial small subunit ribosomal RNA". The record is from RNAcentral. Lineage: Eukaryota; Viridiplantae; Streptophyta; Magnoliopsida; Poales; Poaceae.
AUGACCCUGAAAUCCACUGGUACUAUCGUGAAAAUUGACCCAUGGACCUCGGCUCUUGGAACCAAAGGGAUCAUGGAGAAAGCAUGGAUCAAGGUUAGUAAUGUCCCCUUAGAAAAAAGAAAUGAAAGAAUCUUGGCAUUUGUUUCCUCUCUGGUUGGAGUUCCCUUGGAAAUUGAUGGUGCUACCCUUCAUUGUCCUGAAUCUAUGCGUGUAAAGAUUGGAUGCAGGAAUGUGGAUGAAAUCCCACCUGUAGCUGAGGCAGUGUUGGGUGAUCAUUUCUUUGACUUCUUUUAUGAGCUGGAUCAGGUGCUGGUCAAAGACUCGGACCGUGGGAAAAUACCAGUGACAAAUCUUUUUAACACUGGAAACCAUAUGUUUAAGAAGAUGAAAACGCAAAAUUCUAAUGGGAAGAAUGAUGUGGGAACUUCCUCUACUGCUGCUGGUAUAGCUAGUGGUGCUCAAUUCAAGGGCCAGGAAAAACACCAAGAUACUCCUGAAGAUGAUGGAUCGGAUGAGUGA